Molecule: ribosomal RNA, 370 nt
Filed under: uncultured organism
Description: partial 16S ribosomal RNA
Rfam family: Bacterial small subunit ribosomal RNA
Source: RNAcentral
GGAGGGGGCAAGCGUUGUUCAGAAUUACUGGGCGUAAAGGGCGCGUAGGCGGCCUGUCAAGUCAGGGGUGAAAGGCCCGGGCUCAACCCGGGAACUGCCCUUGAAACUGGCAAGCUAGAGUCCGAGAGAGGAUGGCGGAAUUCCCAGUGUAGAGGUGAAAUUCGUAGAUAUUGGGAAGAACACCGGUGGCGAAGGCGGCCAUCUGGCUCGGUACUGACGCUGAGGCGCGAAAGCGUGGGGAGCAAACAGGAUUAGAUACCUGGUAGUCCACGCCGUAAACGAUGUGUGCUAGACGUUGGGGGUCUUAGGCCCUUCAGUGUCGCAGCUAACGCGUUAAGCACACCGCCUGGGGAGUACGGCCGCAAGGUUA